CAAUUGAAGCAGCAGAGGCUUUUGCGAUGACUGUGGAAACCACUGCUUAUGCCUUGCUUCAAGCAUUGUCAAGGAAUGAUAUUGACUAUGCAACACCGAUUGCGAGGUGCCCAACGAUGCAACAGAACUAUGGUGGUGGAUUUCACUCGACGCAGGACACAAUCAUUGCCUUGGAAGCUUCAUCAUGAUACGACAUUGCAUUUCUGAAGAGGGAAGAAGAAAUCAACAUGCAAAUUCAAUUCCAUGGUUUUGGACGUCCCAUUGAGAACACGAUUCAUGUGCGCCGGCAUAAUGCUCUGACCGAGAAAGAAUCGAAGUUUCCACUUGGAAGAAAGAUUCACAUCAAAUUGACUGGUCAAGGAACUGGGACACUGACUUUGGUCGAGUGGAUCACAGAAAGUCUGGCAACAAAAAAGCUGCAAUGGUUACCUCCUCACUGCUUCCAACUCCUCCUCUUUCUCAGCUGGUGCCCGAUCACUGGCAGCGACAGCGUACCCUCAUGAUGCCAAGGUUGGAGACUAUCAAGAAUCAUGACGACACCGGCCCUUCUCUGUACUGCAGGACUGCCCCAGAGUGCUCCAGGCAGCAGAAACAACAUUGAACGACUCCAGUGGUCUGCACCAUUACAUUUCCUGUGGUACUUUAUGCAGCCCCUCUGAGUGUGUAAUACACACUCCCAUAUGGACCACGUCAUCAAACAAAGGCUCUUGUCACCUCCUCAUUACUUCAAGUUGUUCAAAUGAGGAUGGCAGGGCAGAAUAUUGAAGAAUUAUUACAAAGUCUUCUGUUCAGUAUCCUGCUGCUCUCUGACAAGGAAAACUGAAAUGUACUUGAUUUUCAUGUAAUUUUGAUUCCCAUGACAGGUCCUUGUGGGAACAGGAAAAAUGACAAGCUGGAAAAUUUUGCAAGUAAUCUUUGGGCCAGCCUGGAAUCUUCCCAUCCUCUGGCCAUGACCUUGUGACCCUGCUUGGAGGUUGUAGUUACAGUUUCAGAAGUGAUCAAUUCCAGUGAGGAUGUCUGUACCAAGGUGAAAGCUCAUGCACAGUUCUUCACGACGGGAAAAAUGGCUCCAUUCAGACUCUGGAGAUUCAGGUAUCCCACUGAGAAUCGUUGUCUCCUUCAUCAUUCACCUUAUUCCAGUCACCUGUCCUGCUCUGUGUGAUUUCUGUCCAUUCUCUCAGUCAUGCUUGUCUGAGGGGAUAGCCACUACUGUAGCCCUGUUGUUGACUUGUGCAGUAUCCUCACAGUCAGGGAAUGCUUCCCCAUUCCUGAGAGAUUUCAGUUGGCUUAAACAGCUCUGAAAACCACUAAACACUUUUACAAGAGUCAGCGGAAAUCCACUUGCAUCUAACCUGUAAGUAGUUGGUGAUAUCUCUAUCCUCACUGCACUGGAUUAAGAGAGGAUUGUAACUGGAAUACUGAGGUCAAAACAUAUACCAUUAGCAUCCAAGCAGCAUUACGCAUACUUCCAUCAGAAUGUGAAUCAGAUGACAGGGAUUAUACCUAGCACUUGGAGAACUGACAGAAACCCCAGGUUACCUUGUCAGGAAAGUUCCAGUGAAUGAAGUGCCAACCGAGCACUUACCAUUCGGGGGCAGUCUGUGGCUAAAACCCCACUCACUGAGAGAUGCUGGCCAAACAGAGACUAGUGCCUCGCCAUUGCAGGUGGUGCCACCAGGAAGGGUGGCUGAUGCUGGUACUGCAAUUAAUCCAAUGCUAUUAGUGAGUCAUGAACAAAUUGGGGUCGUGGGAGAGGUUUUCUGGCCAGGGAAUCAGGAGGUUGUAAGAAAAGGUAGUCAGGUGCUAUCUGUUUGCCAUCGCUACUAAUAUGGCAUGGCGGAUCAAUGGUUAGCACUGCUGCCUCACAGCUCCAGGGACCCAGGUUCAAUUCCAACCUCAGGUGACUGUCUGUGUGGAGUUUGCACAUUCUGUAUAUGUCUGCAUGGGUUUCCUCUGGGUGCUCCAGUUUCCUCCCACAGUCCAAAGAUGUGCAGGUUAGAUGGCUUGGCCAUGCUAAGUUGCUAAGAGUGUCCAGGUAUGUGUGGGUUAGGUGGGUUAUAGUGGAAUGGGUGUGGGUGGAAUGCUGCAAAGGUCAAUGUUGGGUCAAAGGGUCUGAUUGUACACUGUAGGGAUUCUAUAAUUAAGAGUUUUACUUCUCAAACUUUCUGUGUGAUAUUUGUUCAGCCUAAGUUAUUAAUUGCCCACUCAGGGGAGUAAAGACCAUUUACCAGCCUUCCCAAUCGAGACUGCAUCAGGGUAAAACUUGAAAGACAGUCAGGUCCGUACUUACACUCUCCAGCUCAAACCCCGCAUAAAGAGAGGGGUGUUAAAUUCUACCCGUCAUGUACAAAAUCCAGCACCUACGUGAUUGCCUGCAAAAAUGCCAUCCAUCACUGCCCACAACAGAAGAGUGAACCUGGCAGAAACGCAGAAUUGCUACAACGCAGAAGGAAGACAUUCAGCCCAUCAUACUUGCCAAGCUCUCUGAGCACUCUAAUUUAAGGCCAAUCUUCUACCUUUUUCCAAAAACCCUGCAUGUAUUUUUUUUUCUGUUUAAGUAACCAUCCCUCUUGCGUGCCUUCGCCGAAUCUGCCACCACCACAUUUCCGGGCAGUGGAUUCCAGGCCCAGAUCACUCACUGGCUGAAUAAAGUAUUUUUUCUCACUGCCCAUUUGCUUCUUUUGUUAGCAUCUUUGAAACUGUGCCCUCUGGUUCUAGAUUCAUUUUAGGAGUGGGAACAUUUUAUUCCUAGAUAACAAGGUGUAGAACUGGAUGAAGAGCUUUCUGAACUUUCGUCAGAAAAAUGAAGAAGGGUCUAGGCCUGAAAUGUCAGCCUUCCUGCUCCUCUGAUGCUGCUGGGCCUGCUGCGUUCAUCCAGCUCAGCACCUUGUUAUCUCAGAUUCCCCAGCAUCUGCAGUUCCUACUAUCUCUGAAGCAUUUUAUUCCUAUCUGCU
This is a long non-coding RNA of Stegostoma tigrinum, 2954 nucleotides long. RefSeq lists it as uncharacterized. Lineage: Eukaryota; Metazoa; Chordata; Chondrichthyes; Orectolobiformes; Stegostomatidae. The transcript is spliced from 4 exons. The record is from RefSeq and is a predicted model, not a curated record.